GGUUUUAUCGUCUAGUGGUUAGGACGCAGGAUUUUGAUUGCUCAGAUCUUCCUGAAGCCCCGGUUCGAUCCCGGGUAAGACCU
Botryobasidium botryosum FD-172 SS1 is the source of this 83-nucleotide transfer RNA. It matches the Rfam family "tRNA". From Rfam's summary of the family: Transfer RNA (tRNA) molecules are approximately 80 nucleotides in length. Their secondary structure includes four short double-helical elements and three loops (D, anti-codon, and T loops). Further hydrogen bonds mediate the characteristic L-shaped molecular structure. tRNAs have two regions of fundamental functional importance: the anti-codon, which is responsible for specific mRNA codon recognition, and the 3' end, to which the tRNAs corresponding amino acid is attached (by aminoacyl-tRNA synthetases). tRNAs cope with the degeneracy of the genetic code in two manners: having more than one tRNA (with a specific anti-codon) for a particular amino acid; and 'wobble' base-pairing, i.e. permitting non-standard base-pairing at the 3rd anti-codon position. The record is from Rfam. Lineage: Eukaryota; Fungi; Basidiomycota; Agaricomycetes; Cantharellales; Botryobasidiaceae.